UUAAGAUUUAAAAAAAAGAAGUUUACCAACUUUUGAAAUUGAGUUGCCCAGGCCAAAAUCUACUUGCCCCAGGCUCACGGGAAACCACAUAUUUCCAUCCCUGUAUGCUCUUCAUUUUCUGAUCUUCCAUCCCAUUCUCAAAAUUAAUUUUAAAGCACAAUAUUUUUUAAUAACAUUUGUAUGAAUUACUAACCAUUAUCACCCAAAACACAAUUUUACAACGCUGUAAUCGUGUCGUAGAGAUUUAGUUUACUAUUAUCAGUGUUCUCUUUAAAUACCGUCAGCCAGCGAUUCUGCCGGUUACAUUUACUCUUACAUUUACAUGACGGCUUCUUUUCCCAAAUAUAUCAAGUAAAUGUCAUAAAUGCUUUUGUUUUACUGCAUAGUUGCCGGCCAUAUAACUGGUACUCAAUUUUCUGGAAAACACUGAAUUAUGCAUGACAAACACACAAUACUUAAAAUCUUAGAUUCGUUUUUAAAAUAAAUUGACACUUCCAGCUUGUCGCCAUUAAAAUCCAAAGAUUCAAAUAAUUUUCCACGAGGUACGUCAACAAUUGCGUAAUCAAAUGAAUGAAAAAUAAAAGUAAAGAAAGCCGGUGUUUACAUAAAUUCCAGGUUGAUAAACACAACAAGGUAAAUGUACCUUGUAGUCGGUGAGAUAUAAUAAUAAUACAGUUAGUAAGGCUCGUACCCUGGGUACGGUAAAUAUACUAAAACGUACCCAGAAAUUUUAACACUAAAUCGGUUGUUGUCGGGUAUUUUGUAAAAAUUAAUUAUGUUUACAUUUAUGUCAAUUUUCUGUUCAAUGGCAUUUAUAUUAUCAAAACUCAUUGUUAAAAUCAAUGAUGUGAUUUAAUUUUAAAUCUUAAAUUGUUUAAAGUCGCGUCAUUGUAUGACGUCGUCAAGUAUAAUAUUUUCCGCGACAUCGCACGCUCACUUUUUACCGUCAUAGAUUUUUUUAAAGAAACAUUAUUUGGUUUGCAAGGUCCGUUAAAUGGGGAACACCAUAUUCGGUAUUUAUAUUAUGUUUUAACAAUUAAUUCAUGCUGUGUAAUAAAUAUUGUAUAAGAUAUUUCGAUAUUGAUUGAAAAUGUUUCAAAUUGUUAUUUAUGAAACCUCUUAUUCUAAUGAGUGUAUGCUAUUAUAUUAUACUUUGAAAAGCAUAUCUGUUGUACUAUAAUCUUAUUAUUCAUUUUUUAUUGUUAAUUUCAUUUAUUGUAGAGAAUCGUCAAUGUUACAUCUAGGCGCCAAUGCUUGUCGUCAGUGUUAGUCGUAAAUGCUUGUGAUCAUUGUCGUCAAUGUUAGUCGUCAAUCCUUAUCGUCAUUAUACAUGAAGGAAAUAAAAGCAGAAACAGA
Dreissena polymorpha is the source of this 1356-nucleotide long non-coding RNA. RefSeq lists it as uncharacterized. The record is from RefSeq and is a predicted model, not a curated record. The transcript is spliced from 2 exons. NCBI's taxonomy places the organism in Eukaryota, Metazoa, Mollusca, Bivalvia, Myida, Dreissenidae.